Molecule: non-coding RNA, 22 nt
Filed under: Mus musculus (house mouse)
Lineage: Eukaryota; Metazoa; Chordata; Mammalia; Rodentia; Muridae
Source: RNAcentral
UGCAAACUGCACCAAGCUAAGC